UGCAAGUCGAGCGGGCACUUUCGGGUGUCAGCGGCGGACGGGUGAGUAACGCGUGGGAACGUGCCCUCUGGUUCGGAAUAACUCAGGGAAACUUGAGCUAAUACCGGAUACGCCCUUUUGGGGAAAGGCUUGCUGCCGGAGGAUCGGCCCGCGUCUGAUUAGCUAGUUGGUGAGGUAACGGCUCACCAAGGCGACGAUCAGUAGCUGGUCUGAGAGGAUGAUCAGCCACACUGGGACUGAGACACGGCCCAGACUCCUACGGGAGGCAGCAGUGGGGAAUAUUGGACAAUGGGCGCAAGCCUGAUCCAGCCAUGCCGCGUGAGUGAUGAAGGCCUUAGGGUUGUAAAGCUCUUUUAUCCGGGACGAUAAUGACGGUACCGGAGGAAUAAGCCCCGGCUAACUUCGUGCCAGCAGCCGCGGUAAUACGAAGGGGGCUAGCGUUGCUCGGAAUCACUGGGCGUAAAGGGCGCGUAGGCGGCGUUUUAAGUCGGGGGUGAAAGCCUGUGGCUCAACCACAGAAUGGCCUUCGAUACUGGGACGCUUGAGUAUGGUAGAGGUUGGUGGAACUGCGAGUGUAGAGGUGAAAUUCGUAGAUAUUCGCAAGAACACCGGUGGCGAAGGCGGCCAACUG
RNAcentral lists this ribosomal RNA (631 nucleotides) under uncultured bacterium. RNAcentral's name for it is "bacterial SSU rRNA". It matches the Rfam family "Bacterial small subunit ribosomal RNA", at positions 56 to 731 of the family's 1533-position model. The record is from RNAcentral.